Long non-coding RNA from Lemur catta (Ring-tailed lemur), 1126 nucleotides. RefSeq lists it as uncharacterized. The transcript is spliced from 4 exons. NCBI's taxonomy places the organism in Eukaryota, Metazoa, Chordata, Mammalia, Primates, Lemuridae. The record is from RefSeq and is a predicted model, not a curated record.
CUGGCGCCGCCUCCAUGCCCCUCUGUGUGCCUGCGCCUCCUUGGCACGGCCUGUGCAGCCCUGACACCGCCUGAGCCUUCUCUGCACGCCGGCGCCUCCCUGGGUUUUCGGCGACAGUGAAGGAGUGUGUGGCUGCAGCCGUGCCCCCAGCCUGUGGGCAGCCGCACCACCGCCCUUAAGUGCGUGUCUCCGGUAAGGCAUUUAGCUAGAAGGGGCUUCUGUUCCCCACUUCAAGCCACCACUUUCAAAUCCCUCGAAAAAUCAACCACAGCAACCACUUAAAAAUGAAAAAAAUAACUCUGAUAAAGUACAAUUUCCUUCCUUUCGAUUUAUGUCUGGAUAGAAGGCCAACGCUGUCAGAGCACACCCUGUGCCGGUCACAUAAGCUGCUGCAGGAGGCUCCUGUGUCGGGGGUCCCCAUUCUUCACCCUCCGCAGAUGCAUCCCCUUCUCCACGUGGAGACUCCUCAGUUCCUUCCAUUGAAGAGACAGCGCUGCCUCUCUGGACCCUUGACUCUGAGUCAGGCCAUGUGACUUGUUCUGGUCAAUGGGAUGCCUGCUGCUGUGACACCUGAGGAGGCUCAGGACAGACUUGUGUUUUUCUGUGCCACUGUUACGAGCGUGUGCCUGGGCUCUGGCUGAGGGAUGAGGUGUGAGGCGAAUCAUUCCAGAUGGGGCCACCCUGGACCAUCCAGCAGCAGCUUCUCUGGACAGAGCAUUUGGAAGCGAAGUUUAAGAGAGGAUCGGGACCACAUGACCUCUGGGAAAGCCUCUGCCAACUCCACAUUCCCGGAGUUCCUGAGUCUGACGGUCGAGAAUAAUGAAUCUGGUGGCCGUGAGCAGGUGAGUUCAGGAGCAGAGGUGCCAGACCAGGGCUCACAAAUUCCCACGGUGAAGGGGCCAGACAGACAGUGUAAACAUUUUAAAAGAUUAGCAAUGUAUUAACAUAUUUUAAAACAUUAUGUAAAUGAAAUCAAGCAUGUUUGCAGGCCAGAUAUUGCCCAGUGGGCACCAGUUUGAGACCAUGGUACUGGAGAAAGUAAACUCAGUUAAUAAUCCUUCUAUAAAGUCUUGGGCAGGGAAUCAAAGGAGAACAAAAGAAAAAAGAAGAAAUCUGGGAGUCUUUG